CCGGGGGAAGGAGCACCCCAUGGACCCUCAGGGGAAGGAGCACCUCAUGGACCUCCAGCUUACCUGGAAGAAAGGGCACCCCAUGGCCCCCCAGGUUGUUUGGGAGAAGGAGCACCCUGGGGACCCCCAAUUUGCCCAGGAGAAGGGGCACCCCGUGGAUACCCCCAGCCCUCCUGGAAGAAGGAGCACCUCAUGGACGGCGAACGCAUCCAGGAGAAAGAGUAUCCCAUGGACACCCAACGUACCUGGAAGAAGGGGCACCCCAUGGACAGCGAACUUGUCCAGGAGAAGGAGUAUCCCAUGGACCCCCAACCUACCUGGAAGAAGGGGCACCCCGUGGACCCCCCCAGUCCACCUGGCAGAAGGAGCACCCUGGGGACCCCCAACCUACCUGGAAAAAGGGGCAGCCCAUGAACCUCCCCCCAUGCCCAGGACCAGGGGCCCCCCAUGUACCCUCAGUGCCCCCCAGGCUGCCCCCCCCAGCGCCCAGCACUGUACCCCGCUCGCUUUCAUAUCUUUAUUAGAAAAAAAAACCCAAACUGAACCCAAAGUUCCUCUCUGGUCGCCCGCCCCCCCCGAGGUGUCUUGGCCCGGCCGCGGGGUGCACAGGGGGGUCCCCCCACCCCGGCUGGGGGGGGCACGGGGCGGGGGGUGCUGGAGAGGGGCCCCCAUGGGCCGACGCUCUUUGGUUGGUGCCCGCGGGGGCCGGGGGGGUCCCCCCUCUGCACCCACGUGCUGCGGGGGGGGUUAUGGCUUUGGGGGGCACCCGCGCACCCCCCCGUGUGGGUGCUGGGUGGGGGUCCAUGCACACCCGUGCCGUGCGUGCGGAGGGGGGGGGGCCGGGGGUGCACCUGCAUGCGGGGACACACGUGUGCAGACGUGUGCUCCCAGGUGUCCCCCACUAGCCCUGUGUGUGCCCCACUAGUCCCGGGUGCCCCCAGGUAGCCCCAGGCGUGUUCCACCAGCCCUGUGUGUCCCCCACUAGCCCCGGGUGCCCCCAGGUAGCCCCAGGUGUCCUGCACUAGUCCUGUGUGCCCUCAGUAGUCCCAGGUGUCCCCAGGUAGCCCCAGGUGUCCCCCACUAGUCCCUGAUGCCUACCAGAUAGCUCCAGGUAUCCCCCACUAAUCCUGUGUGUGCCCCACUAGUCCCGGGUGCCCCCAGGUAGCCCCAGGUGUCCUGCACCAGUCUUGUGUGCCCCCAGGUAGCCCCAGGUGUCUCCCACUAGCCCUGUGUGUACCCCACUAGUCCCGGGUGCC
RNA transcript from Neopelma chrysocephalum (saffron-crested tyrant-manakin), 1256 nucleotides. It is a transcript of the gene named collagen alpha-1(III) chain-like, with no coding region annotated. NCBI's taxonomy places the organism in Eukaryota, Metazoa, Chordata, Aves, Passeriformes, Pipridae. The transcript is spliced from 4 exons. The record is from RefSeq and is a predicted model, not a curated record.